AAAGCAGGGGAGCCGGUUUUGGCUGAGAGGAUGCCGUUUUGCAUCGACCCUUCACCUGAUCUGGAUAAUGCCAGCGUAGGGAGUCUCAUAUU
RNAcentral lists this non-coding RNA (92 nucleotides) under Heyndrickxia coagulans. Its description in RNAcentral is "TPP riboswitch (THI element)". The stretch from base 5 to 83 matches the Rfam family "TPP riboswitch aptamer (THI element)", at positions 10 to 89 of the family's 105-position model. Rfam says of the family: Vitamin B(1) in its active form thiamin pyrophosphate (TPP) is an essential coenzyme that is synthesised by coupling of pyrimidine and thiazole moieties in bacteria. Lineage: Bacteria; Bacillati; Bacillota; Bacilli; Caryophanales; Bacillaceae. The record is from RNAcentral.